GAUGAACGCUGGCGGCGUGCCUAAUACAUGCAAGUCGAGCGAACAGAUGAGGAGCUUGCUCCUCUGACGUUAGCGGCGGACGGGUGAGUAACACGUGGAUAACCUACCUAUAAGACUGGGAUAACUUCGGGAAACCGGAGCUAAUACCGGAUAAUAUAUUGAACCGCAUGGUUCAAUAGUGAAAGACGGUUUUGCUGUCACUUAUAGAUGGAUCCGCGCCGCAUUCGCUAGUUGGUAAGGUAACGGCUUACCAAGGCAACGAUGCGUAGCCGACCUGAGAGGGUGAUCGGCCACACUGGAACUGAGACACGGUCCAGACUCCUACGGGAGGCAGCAGUAGGGAAUCUUCCGCAAUGGGCGAAAGCCUGACGGAGCAACGCCGCGUGAGUGAUGAAGGUCUUCGGAUCGUAAAACUCUGUUAUUAGGGAAGAACAAAUGUGUAAGUAACUAUGCACGUCUUGACGGUACCUAAUCAGAAAGCCACGGCUAACUACGUG
RNAcentral lists this ribosomal RNA (497 nucleotides) under uncultured bacterium. RNAcentral describes it as "partial 16S ribosomal RNA". It matches the Rfam family "Bacterial small subunit ribosomal RNA", at positions 28 to 507 of the family's 1533-position model. The record is from RNAcentral.